GACGAACGCUGGCGGCGUGCUUAACACAUGCAAGUCGAACGAUGAAGUUCUUUCGGGAAUGGAUUAGUGGCGAACGGGUGAGAAACACGUGAGAAACCUGCCUUUCAUUUUGGGAUAACUCCGGGAAACCCGAGCUAAUACCGAAUACUCCGUCUCGGCGACAUCGCUGAGCCGGGAAAAAAUUUUGAUGAAAGAUGGUCUCGCGACCUAUCAGCUAGUUGGUGAGGUAAUGGCUCACCAAGGCGACGAC
RNAcentral lists this ribosomal RNA (250 nucleotides) under uncultured bacterium. RNAcentral describes it as "partial 16S ribosomal RNA". It matches the Rfam family "Bacterial small subunit ribosomal RNA", at positions 28 to 280 of the family's 1533-position model. The record is from RNAcentral.